Long non-coding RNA from Oncorhynchus kisutch (coho salmon), 2413 nucleotides. RefSeq lists it as uncharacterized. The record is from RefSeq and is a predicted model, not a curated record. Lineage: Eukaryota; Metazoa; Chordata; Actinopteri; Salmoniformes; Salmonidae. The transcript is spliced from 2 exons.
UACGGAGCGUAGGUGUGUGAGGUGCUCGCUCGAAGGCCUCCGUGGAGGAGAAGUAAACAGAAAUGUUCAUAAAUAAUCAUUAGCUAGCAUUGGCACUAUUGAUUUGCCUUUAAAAAAAAUGUUUUACAGUGAUCACUACACCAUGGCAGAUGGUGGCGAGUUGGAUAACUAUAUUAUAAUCUAUCCUAGUGCCAGUGUGAUUUUUUCUUGCUUGAUGUGAAUUUUAUCGGUGUUUUAAAAGGCAAUCUAGCUAGCUAUGUCAAGGGGAUUUAUUAUGCUAUUUAAAUUGUAGUUAAUUGUUUUCCAGCAGCUAGGUCGAUUGCUAUUCAUGUUAUGCUUGUAAAUGAUUAGCUAGUUAUGUUGUGCUGUUAUUCAAUCAAUUGUAGCAUUACUAGCUAACUAUCUCACUUAGCGACUGAAUUGUUGUUGAGAGAUUCAGCAAGGUAAUGUAACACCAAACAAGUAGGGAGUUAUUUUUGGGUCGCAGCUGCUGGAAAUUCAAUGUUUGGGGGAGGAUGGAGUGUGAGAAUAGAGAUUGAUGUGUGUGUGUACCAUGGAUAGUAAAAUAAUGUGCGUGCGUGAGAGAUCCUGCGCGCACUUGUCUGUGGUCAAAGGGCAGCUAUAACAGUUUCUCCCACUGAGACAAGAUACUACUGACUCAGCAGGUCAACCCAGGACACAAGAGGUACCUCUAAGUUACUGUUGCUUGCCCUCUUAGACUGAGGUUGUGAUGCAUCUCCCUCUCUGCUUUCCAUUCUGCUGUUUUUCCUCUCACUUUUUAUUCUCCCCUUUCUCUACUCUCCCUUUUUAGCCCCAUUUUAUAUGUCAAUGUCUCCCUCUUGCUCUCUCUCAGUUAAAUGUACAUUUAAGGUCUUUAUUGGCAUGGGAAACAUAUGUUGACAUUACCAAAGCAAGUGAAAUAAAUAAAAACUUUGUGAAAUAAACAAUAAAAAAUGAACGGUAAACAUUACACUUAUAAAAGUUCCAAAAGAAUAAAGACAUUUAAAUGUCAUGUCUAUAUACAGUGUUGUAAUGAUGUGCAAAUAGUUAAAGUACAAAAGGGAAAUAAUUCAACAUAAAUAUAGGUUGUAUUUGCAAUUGUGUUUGUUCUUCACUGGUUGCCCAAUAGAUAUGGGAGUUUAUUGACAUUAGAUUUGUUUUCAAAUGAUUUAUGGGUCUGUGUAAUCUGAGGGAAAUAUGUGUCUAAUAUGGUCAUACAUUUGGAAGGAGGUUAGGAAGUGCAGCUCAGCUUCCACCUCCUUUUGUGGGUAGUGAGCACAUAGCCUAUCUACUCUUGAGAGCCAGGUCUGCCUACGGCGGCCUUUCUCAAUAGCAAGGCUAUGCUCACUGAGUCUGUACAUAGUCAACGCUUUCCUUAAGUUUGGGUCAGUCACAGUGGUCAGGUGUUCUCUCACUCCCCAUGUUCCAUGUAGACGUGCAUUGGAUGAGCUGUUGAAGGAAACCAAUCGGGCUGGGUGCAAGCAGAAACCAUGGGUUCAGCAGGCUGGAUGAAGUGUCCGAUGUGCAGCACUAACAAUUGUUUCCUGCUCAACACCAUUCCACAGCGCUGCCCUGCUGGCCACUCAGGAGUACAGACAUCAAAUAGUAAGGGGCAGGACACCACCCAGAGACAAUUGGGAAUACAAAGACCACAGGGGACUCAGGGAAAAAGACAAUCAUAGAGACAGCCGAGAACUUUGUCUCUUUUGUGUCCAUCUUUAAGACUAAGAUAGCAACACAGGCCAAGACAGCUACAAAGACAGAAGGGACUGAGACAAUGACAGAGACAGCCAUAGAGACAAGAAACACCGACAUAAAAGAGCCUCUGGUCACAAGAGACACUUUGUCCCCAAAACACACAGUCCCCAUGAAGGACACUCCCCAUCUUCUUCUAGACCAGGGUUACCCCACCUCAGUCCUGAACCCCCCUGGGGGCAUGUUUUGUUUUUUUGCUGAUUCAAAAUACCAACUCCUCAUCAAGCUUUGAUUUGUUUUAAUUGGCUGUGUAGUGCUAUGGCAAAAACCAAAACGUGCUCCCAGGAGAGGCCUCAGGACCGAGUUUGGGAAACGCUGUUGUAGAGACCGCUCCCUCCACUGACAGUAGCUCCUCAUUCCACUCCAGGGCAAGCUCCCACCCGAUAGGCCACACCUUCUAUCAAUCAAACCAUUGCAGCAGACCACGCUCACCUGUUAAGGACACGCCCAGUGGAAGGAGCCACGUGUGACAUCAUAACCUUGGAGGGAGUGCUGUAAUGGUGUUACCCAGAGGAGGUCCCCCCCCCCCUCAAAGACAUAAAUAUACCCAUUGAAUGACUGGAAAGAGAGUGUGUUUGUGUUAGAAUGUGAGAAAGACUGGUUGCUGUUGUAAGGUUGUGACAAGUAUAACUAAUUAAAUUGUCUUUGUUUCUACUGA